Molecule: ribosomal RNA, 253 nt
Filed under: uncultured bacterium
Lineage: Bacteria
Description: partial 16S ribosomal RNA
Rfam family: Bacterial small subunit ribosomal RNA
Source: RNAcentral
UACGUAGGGCGCAAGCGUUAUCCGGAAUUAUUGGGCGUAAAGAGCGCGCAGGCGGUAUGACAAGUCAGAUGUGAAAGAGGCCGGCUUAACCGGCAAGGGUCAUUUGAAACUGUCAGACUAGAGUGCAGCAGAGGAUAGUGGAAUUCCCGGUGUAGUGGUGAAAUGCGUAGAUAUCGGGAGGAACACCUGUGGCGAAAGCGGCUCACUGGACCACAACUGACGCUGAGGCGCGAAAGCUAGGGGAGCAAACAGG